ACAUGCAAGUCGAACGUGAAGCCGGGCUUCGGCCUGGUGGAAAGUGGCAGACGGGUGAGUAACGCGUGGGAAUCUACCCAGUGGUACGGAAUAACUUCGGGAAACCGGAGCUAAUACCGUAUACGCCCUUCGGGGGAAAGAUUUAUCGCCAUUGGAUGAGCCCGCGUCGGAUUANCUUGUUGGUGGGGUAAAAGCCUACCAAGGCGACGAUCCGUAGCUGGUCUGANAGGAUGAUCAGCCACACUGGGACUGAGACACGGCCCAAACUCCUACGGGAGGCAGCAGUGGGGAAUAUUGCACAAUGGGCGCAAGCCUGAUGCAGCCAUGCCGCGUGAGUGAANAAGGCCUUAAGGUUGUAAAACUCUUUCACCGGUGAAGAUAAUGACGGUAGCCGGAGAAGAAGCCCCGGCUAACUNCGUGCCAGCAGCCGCGGUAAUACGGAGGGGGCUAGCGUUGUUCGGAAUCACUGGGCGUAAA
This 477-nucleotide ribosomal RNA is filed under the name uncultured bacterium. RNAcentral's name for it is "bacterial SSU rRNA". It matches the Rfam family "Bacterial small subunit ribosomal RNA", at positions 53 to 564 of the family's 1533-position model. RNAcentral also lists the same sequence under 1 other name. The record is from RNAcentral.